CCUACGGGUGGCAGCAGUGAGGAAUAUUGGUCAAUGGACGAGAGUCUGAACCAGCCAAGUAGCGUGAAGGAUGACUGCCCUAUGGGUUGUAAACUUCUUUUAUAUGGGAAUAAAAUGUUCCACGUGUGGGAUUUUGUAUGUACCAUAUGAAUAAGGAUCGGCUAACUCCGUGCCAGCAGCCGCGGUAAUACGGAGGAUCCGAGCGUUAUCCGGAUUUAUUGGGUUUAAAGGGAGCGUAGGUGGAUUGUUAAGUCAGUUGUGAAAGUUUGCGGCUCAACCGUAAAAUUGCAGUUGAAACUGGCAGUCUUGAGUACAGUAGAGGUGGGCGGAAUUCGUGGUGUAGCGGUGAAAUGCUUAGAUAUCACGAAGAACUCCGAUUGCGAAGGCAGUUCACUGGACUGCAACUGACACUGAGGCUCGAAAGUGUGGGUAUCAAACAGGAUUAGUUACCCGAGUAGUC
Molecule: ribosomal RNA, 460 nt
Filed under: uncultured bacterium
Lineage: Bacteria
Description: partial 16S ribosomal RNA
Rfam family: Bacterial small subunit ribosomal RNA
Source: RNAcentral